CGACGAAGGACGUUACUAACGACGAUAUGCUUUGGGGAGCUGUAAGUAAGCUUUGAUCCAGAGAUUUCCUAAUGGGGAAACCCAGCACGAGUUAUGUCGUGUUAUCGAUAUGUGAAUACAUAGCAUAUCUGAAGGCAGACGCGGAGAACUGAAACAUCUUAGUACCCGCAGGAAGAGAAAGAAAAAUCGAUUCCCUGAGUAGCGGCGAGCGAAACGGGAAGAGCCCAAACCAACGAGCUUGCUUGUUGGGGUUGUAGGACACUCUAUACGGAGUUACAAAAGAACAGACUAGACGAAUCAUCUGGAAAGAUGAAUCAAAGAAGGUAAUAAUCCUGUAGUCGAAAGUUUGUUCACUCUUGAGUGGAUCCUGAGUACGACGGAACACGAGAAAUUCCGUCGGAAUCUGGGAGGACCAUCUCCCAAGGCUAAAUACUCUCUAGUGACCGAUAGUGAACCAGUACCGUGAGGGAAAGGUGAAAAGUACCCCGGAAGGGGAGUGAAAUAGAACUUGAAACCGUGUGCUUACAAGUAGUCAGAGCCCGUUAAUGGGUGAUGGCGUGCCUUUUGUAGAAUGAACCGGCGAGUUACGAUUUGAUGCAAGGUUAAGCAGUGAAUGUGGAGCCGUAGCGAAAGCGAGUCUGAAUAGGGCGUUGAGUAUUUGGUCGUAGACCCGAAACCAGGUGAUCUACCCAUGACCAGGUUGAAGUUCAGGUAACACUGAAUGGAGGACCGAACCGACUUACGUUGAAAAGUGAGCGGAUGAGUUGUGGGUAGCGGAGAAAUUCCAAUCGAACCUGGAGAUAGCUGGUUCUCUCCGAAAUAGCUUUAGGGCUAGCCUCAAGUGAUGAUUAUUGGAGGUAGAGCACUGUUUGGACGAGGGGCCCUUAUCGGGUUACCGAAUUCAGACAAACUCCGAAUGCCAAUCAAUUUAACUUGGGAGUCAGAACGCGGGUGAUAAGGUCCGUGUUCGAAAGGGAAACAGCCCAGACCACCAGCUAAGGUCCCAAAAUAUAUGUUAAGUGGAAAAGGAUGUGGCGUUGCCCAGACAACUAGGAUGUUGGCUUAGAAGCAGCCAUCAUUUAAAGAGUGCGUAAUAGCUCACUAGUCGAGUGACACUGCGCCGAAAAUGUACCGGGGCUAAACAUAUUACCGAAGCUGUGGAUUGUCCGUAAGGACAAUGGUAGGAGAGCGUUCUAAGGGCGUUGAAGCAUGAUCGCAAGGACAUGUGGAGCGCUUAGAAGUGAGAAUGCCGGUGUGAGUAGCGAAAGACGGGUGAGAAUCCCGUCCACCGAUUGACUAAGGUUUCCAGAGGAAGGCUCGUCCGCUCUGGGUUAGUCGGGUCCUAAGCUGAGGCCGAUAGGCGUAGGCGAUGGAUAACAGGUUGAUAUUCCUGUACCACCAUUAUUCGUUUUAAGCGAUGGGGGGACGCAGUAGGAUAGGCGAAGCGUACGAUUGGAUUGUACGUCCAAGCAGUGAGAUUGAGUGUUAGGCAAAUCCGGCA
This is a ribosomal RNA of 1501 nucleotides. It matches the Rfam family "Bacterial large subunit ribosomal RNA", at positions 47 to 1547 of the family's 2925-position model.